GGACAGUCCAUUCCCUUUUUUUUCUCCCUCCGCCCGGGCAGGAGUGGGACAACUCCGAGCUAGAGGGUGCAAGCGGGACCCUGGGCGCAGGUGUAAAUCAGUCACCUGUGCACCGAGGGGCUGCGGCGAGAGUGCACGCGCGUGGAGUGGCGUGGGCAGCGAGCACGGCUGGAGCGGCCAGGCGGGGAGGGUGCUAGCGGAGCGGAGAGCUGAGGUGGCCGUGGGGCGGGGCCACUAAGAGGAGACCAAGAGGCGGGGGCUGCACUUGAGGACCAGCCUGCUGAGAUGAUCAACAGAAGAGAUUCUUGUGUCCUACAGACCAAAGAAAGAAUCAGCAGGAAUGCCCAGGGUGAAUGAUGGAUUGCAGAGCCUGGCUGGCACAUUUUGUGCCCUCCCCGCCUCCAAAUUGCCUCAGUUACAAAUCGGAAGGCAGGCUUGGUGACCAGGACUGGCAAGCACAUUUUAAAGUCCCAUGCUGUGGAGUUGAUCCAUCUCAACUUGAGUCAGAAGAGGCAGAAGUGGAUGUGAGAGAAAGAGACACACAGAGAGACAGAGAGCCAAAGAGGGCAAGAGACUUGACUUUAAGAGACUCCUGUACUGACAACUCCAUGCAGUUCGGAACCAGAACGACUGCGGCUGGACCAGGGUUCAUGGGGACAUGGCAAAACGCUGAUACUAACCUCUUAUUCAGAAUGUCCCAACAGAUCAACAGAAGAGAUUCUUGGGUCCUAGAGACCAAAGAAAGAAUCAGCAGGAAUGCCCAGGGUGAAUGAUGGAUUGCAGAGCCUGGCUGAUGUUUUCAGUCCCACUUCUCACUACUGACCUUCCUCGUUCAUCGGUCACUGACUUGGCGCCUCUCUGGGGUUCUGCCCAGAAGAUUUAGCCUUCCUCCUUCGCCUCAGCCCCUCUAACUCAACAAAAAUCCAGUGGGAGGCUUUUCAGCAGGUUUAAUAGAAGACAAUGAUCUCUAUCGUUGGGAAGUCCUUAUUAUUGGUCCUCCAGAUACACUUUAGAAAAACAGUGGCUCUGUCAGCAACCAUGGCACAGGAAGGUCACCUUUUCAUCCUGGUGCUAACAUCCAGCUGGAGUGGCAGUAUUACCAAAAUAAAAUCCUGAAAGGAGAAGCAGGUACACAUGAGUGUUUAAAAGCCAUGACAGGAAAACUCGAAGAUCUCAGGGAAGUCUGUUUUUUGAAGUGUUCAGGAACGAGAGGUGUUUUAUUAUCUUUAGUGUGAUGUUUUCUACCAUUUUUGUACGAGGAGUUUUUCCUGUGUUGAAUUUUGGUUCUUAAGUUGGAAAGUAAAGCAACCUAGUAAUAUUCUUCAUUCCUACCUUUGCUCUCUUUUUUUAAUGUGUUGUUUUCCCUUUAUUGUUUAUGAAAAUGAAACCAUAUCUUUGUAAUAAUAAAAACUUUGAGGUGAUGCAUCAAAUUAUUCUAAUAAACUUAUGAUUGUGCCUAUGUAAAUUAUAUUUCCAUAGUACUAGUUAUUUUUACUUAGCAUUUGUCCUUGGCAAAAUGGCUUUUUGUAAUUCCUUUUAUAUCUCGGUCUCAACUUUAAGUCAGGAUAUUAAGCCUUGUGUCUGACAGUUAAAAAUAAACAUGAAACACUGCUUGUCUUUUU
Long non-coding RNA from Apodemus sylvaticus (European woodmouse), 1622 nucleotides. RefSeq lists it as uncharacterized. Lineage: Eukaryota; Metazoa; Chordata; Mammalia; Rodentia; Muridae. The transcript has 9 exons. The record is from RefSeq and is a predicted model, not a curated record.